UAGGUCUCGUUAGCACUCGGUUAUAGAGCAUCAGCACGAGGAUCAGGAGAGCAGCAGUCUGUGAUGAAGUGUUAGAGGCUUCCAGCUUUUGUAAACCUGAGAGCGAGCGUCUUAACUGCUCAAGAGUAUUAUACAGCAAAAAUAUUUCCUGGAUCCAGAUGUGUUUCUGCUUAAGAAAAAUGUCUCGUCUGGCUAAAACAGCGUAAAAGAGGAAACCUGACUGUGCUCGUGACAGAAACUCCACCAUGAGGCGGAAUAAAGACUCCAACUGUGUGGAAGAGUUGUCCCCCGAUCACAACGGUGUGAUUCAGA
Ictalurus punctatus (channel catfish) is the source of this 312-nucleotide long non-coding RNA. NCBI's taxonomy places the organism in Eukaryota, Metazoa, Chordata, Actinopteri, Siluriformes, Ictaluridae. The record is from Ensembl.